Molecule: non-coding RNA, 29 nt
Filed under: Rattus norvegicus (Norway rat)
Lineage: Eukaryota; Metazoa; Chordata; Mammalia; Rodentia; Muridae
Source: RNAcentral
UGCCAGUCCACUUAAGCAACAUUGCUAAU